This 434-nucleotide long non-coding RNA is filed under the name Nicotiana tabacum (common tobacco). RNAcentral describes it as "long non-coding RNA (NTAB_LNC012475)". The record is from RNAcentral. Lineage: Eukaryota; Viridiplantae; Streptophyta; Magnoliopsida; Solanales; Solanaceae.
GAAGACUGAAACUUGAAGACCGACGAACUUGAAGACUUCAACUUUGAGAGUUGGAGGGCCUAAAUAUUUCAACUUGAAGAUCGGCGAAUUUGAAGACUUCAACUUGAAGACCGACGGACUUGAAGAUUUCAACUUUGAGACUUGGAGGGCCUAAAUAUUUCAACUUGAAGAUCGGCGAAUUUGAAGACUUCAACUUGAAGACCGACGGACUUGAAGACUUCAACUUUGAGAUUUGGAGGGCCUAAAUAUUUCAACUUGAAGAUCAGCGGAUUUGAAGACUUCAACUUGAAGACCGACGGGGUUGAAGAUUUCAACUUGGGGACUUCAACUUGAAUACACUUGAAGACUUCAACUUGGAGACUUCGAGGGCUUAAAUAUUUCAGCUUCUCUUUUGCUUUACAUCGUUUGACUUUUAUCUUAAUUGCAUAAUUUUC